GCACAGCUUCUUUUUCCAUUCCCUUUAUGUCGCCCAUUUCCCUCUCAAAACCUAUAGUUUUAAUUUUUAUUUUUAUUUUUCCCUAUAAAGCCAUGCCUCAUUUUAAGUAUCGGUAACUCCCGAUCACUGCUACCCUUUCCGAUUGAUUUGAGUCCCAUAACGCAUGUCAAGGCUCUGCCCGACUAAGUUCGUUUGGAUUCUAUCUCAGGACUUCGGGACAAGGUUGAAUUAGGGGUACUAUACUUAACAUGAGUACAUUAUAUUUUUAAAUAGCUUAAAAGUUAUACCCAAAAUUUAUACCAGGAAUCCUUCUAGUUGAACCCUAAAGUUACACAGUGGGUCCAUCCCUUUUUCUCACCAUUUUAUUCUCUUUUUGUGAGUUACCCAAAACUAUUAUUUAUUAUUUAUUAUUUCUAUUUUGUAAACAAACUUUCAUCAAAAGUCAUGCCUAUUAUUUUAUUUACCCAAUAGGGAACCAUAGUUGAGACACCCAAGUAAUCCUGCACAACCCCUAAAAUUUCCAGAACAAUCAGAAUCAGGAUCAGGGCCCCUAAAACUCAGGGGGGGAUAAACCCUAACCAAUGAUUAUCCUCAUAACUCUGUGUAAAAUUCGAAAUUAACGAAACUGUCAACACAGCAAGCCUAGUUACACACGUAGCUACCCUAUGAACAUAGGUUACCACUCGCGUAGCGCGACACCUAUAGGGGGUACCCCUCGCGCUACGCGACGGUGUCAAAUUUCGGGUAUAAAUAGAGGGGGUUGGGACUUGAAUUCUGUCUUUGGAACGACGUAAAUCCGAGUUACGUAGAUCAAGUUAUCACAGAAACAGUCCAACACACACACACUAAUAUCGAAUUGCUGCCGCGGAACAGGGUAAUUACUCGAUCGCUAUUACGAUUCAGUUUCUGGGAUCAAUAUACCCAAAGAAUGUCUAAGUGCCGCCCACAUUGGGUUAUGCUUUGUCGUUUGUCGGUAAUCCGAUAAAUGAGUUGAAGCAUUGUACUUUGUCGUUGUCGAUAAUUCGAUAAUGAGUUGAAGUACUAUACUUUGUCGUUUGUCAUUUUGAUAAAUGAGUUGAAGUAUUGCACUUGGUCAUUCAUUGUGAAAAUUUGAUCUCGGGAAAUUAUCGUAACUACUGUAUUGAGCAUUAACCCGGUUUUUGUGAAAUUCGUUAAGGUUGAUUUAGGUUUUUCACCAAUACGUAUUCCAUUAUGUUAAACCACCAGAAAUACUCCCAACUACACCCUUACAAUCAAAUAAACUAUUAAAUCAUCAGAAGAUCCAGAAUAAUAAAGUGCAUGCUUAAUUAUCGGAAGAAAUAUAAUCAAGAAGUUGUUAACUCAAUCCUGCAUGCUGAUUUGUAAUUACAGUAGAUUGGAGUAAGGAUUGGAUCCGGCACUAAAAGACUUCAAGAAGUGGCUUAUUUUAUUAAUUAAAUCAACUUAAGAAAUAUUGUUUUCAUUAAAAGCUACCUUUGUAAAACAUGGAAUUUAUUCCAUCUAUUUAAAUAAAAAUCCGGUGUUUCUAAACUCUGAUAUUUUCCUAACUCACGGUCCUGAUGAAAUUUCCGCUGCAAUGUGUUUUUCAAAAUAAUCACCGGUACCACUGGACUGCUCACGGCACCGAUUCCGGCCAGGAUGGGAUCGGGGGUCGUGACACGUAUCUAGUGAAAUAGAGCGUCGACCAAAUCCCGAGUUUAAACAAGGCGUCGCCGACGCUGGCCUUGGCCGUCGGCGACGGCCUCCCAUUUGUCCGCCUGCAGAAUUCGUUUUUUAGGGGUUUUGAACGAUUUUAAACAUGAUGUUUGACCACUUGGAGGGGGUUACGAGUCAUGGGGGUUAUAAACAUCAUCUAAUCAUCAUCUAACAUUAUCACCUACCUCUCUAACCUAUUCUAACACCACCCACUAACUCAAUCUUCAUCCUAACCCUAAUCAAAUCACCAUCUCCAUCAUUCCACCAUCACCAUCAUCUUCAUCCACCAUUCAAACCCUAACCUCCACCACUCCUCAAGGCUCAAGGUCAUGGCUCCGUGUUCAUGUUUUUGUCGGUCGGUGAUCGCGUUCACCCAACCAUGAGCGGCUAGUCUCUUUGGUUUCACCCCGGUGUAGAUGUUGUAAGAUUUCUAGGGUUUAUACAUUUGUAUUUUAAUUUGGUUUUGUAACAAAUUGUUUGGUAUUUGAAAUUUAUGAUAAUUAUCGUGCAUUU
Molecule: long non-coding RNA, 2208 nt
Filed under: Helianthus annuus (common sunflower)
Lineage: Eukaryota; Viridiplantae; Streptophyta; Magnoliopsida; Asterales; Asteraceae
Description: hypothetical non coding rna
Source: RNAcentral